RNAcentral lists this ribosomal RNA (468 nucleotides) under uncultured bacterium. Its description in RNAcentral is "partial 16S ribosomal RNA". It matches the Rfam family "Bacterial small subunit ribosomal RNA", at positions 28 to 507 of the family's 1533-position model. The record is from RNAcentral.
GACGAACGCUGGCGGCGUGCUUAACACAUGCAAGUCGAACGGAAAGGCCCUGCUUUUGUGGGUUUCUCGAGUGGCGAACGGGUGAGUAACACGUGAGUAACCUGCCCUUGACUUUGGGAUAACUUCAGGAAACUGGGGCUAAUAUCGGAUAGGAGCUCCUGCUGCAUGGUGGGGGUUGGAAAGUUUCGGCGGUUGGGGAUGGACUCGCGGCUUAUCAGCUUGUUGGGGGGGUAGUUGCUGACCAAGUCUUUGACGGGUAGCCGGCCUGAGAGGGUUAACGGCCACAUGGGGACUAAGAGACGCCCCAGAAGCGAACGGGCGGCAGCAGGGGGGAAUAUUACGCAGUGGGGGGAAGCCUGAUGUAGAAACGCCGCGAGCGGGAUGACCGGCUUUGAGGUGUAAACAGCUUUGGAAGGAAACGAAGAGGGAGUGACGGUAACGGGUAAAAAAGCCACGGCUAACUACGUG